UCCGUAGGUGAACCUGCGGAAGGAUCAUUACCGAG
Molecule: ribosomal RNA, 35 nt
Filed under: Aspergillus aculeatus
Lineage: Eukaryota; Fungi; Ascomycota; Eurotiomycetes; Eurotiales; Aspergillaceae
Description: partial 18S ribosomal RNA
Source: RNAcentral